GACCUAUGGUGUAUAACAUACAAUUUCCAGCUAUAAAUAAACCUAGUAUAGUAUAAAGUGAAGUAACAAUUAUAAAAGAUGGUUUUUUGAUUAUUUCAAUGUUUUUAUUAGUUUUUUUUGGUUUUAUGAAAAGGAAAGGGAUGAGAAUUGGGAAGGCUAUAGUUUGUACUAAUGUGGCUAACCAUUUACUAUUUCCACCUUUUUCAAAAUAUAUUCUACCUAAGAGUGUACCUAUAGCUUGAGUAGAUAGAACUAAUAUUGAAUAAAUGAUCAUUUGGAUCCACCAUUUGUAAUGUACCAAAGUUGGACCUUUUAAUUGAGAUUCAUUCUGAGGAAUGAUUUCUUCUCUUUUAACUUCUUCACCUUGUACUAGUGUUAGCUCUAUUGCUGGAGAAUCCCCCAUCUCAUAGACUUCAAUUUUUUGGUAAAAAGAAAGAAA
This 439-nucleotide unclassified non-coding RNA is filed under the name Hevea brasiliensis (rubber tree). The record is from RNAcentral. Lineage: Eukaryota; Viridiplantae; Streptophyta; Magnoliopsida; Malpighiales; Euphorbiaceae.